This 74-nucleotide transfer RNA is filed under the name Candidatus Nealsonbacteria bacterium RIFOXYB1_FULL_40_15. RNAcentral's name for it is "tRNA-Val". It matches the Rfam family "tRNA". From Rfam's summary of the family: Transfer RNA (tRNA) molecules are approximately 80 nucleotides in length. The record is from RNAcentral. Lineage: Bacteria; Candidatus Nealsoniibacteriota. RNAcentral also lists the same sequence under 2 other names.
GGGCGGUUAGCUCAGCUGGUUAGAGCGCCGCAUUUACACUGCGGAGGCCGAGGGUUCGAGUCCUUCACCGCCCA